UAGCCGUGAUGAUCCUUCAGCGAGCUUCGGCUCACUAUCGGAUCGUUUUAGAAACAUCAGUGGCCAACGGUCGUCAGGAUCGUUGAGCUGCAUUGGCGGGAUUUCGCCGACUACGUUUCUCUUUCUUCGCGGACGAACACGCGCUGGGCCUGCAUGGUUGCAGGAUCCCGGUCCUUAACUGGAUAUGCGUUAGGGGCUUGUAGCUCAGUUGGUUAGAGCGCGCGCUUGAUAAGCGUGAGGUCGGAAGUUCAAGUCUUCCCAGGCCCACCACACUCAUCGAGUGAGCAUUCGUCUUCUGGUUACGGGGCCAUAGCUCAGCUGGGAGAGCGCGUGCUUUGCAAGCAUGAGGUCGUCGGUUCGAUCCCGUCUGGCUCCACCAGAUGGUUUGAUUGCCGGCGCAGCUUGCACCUAAAUCGUCCGCGAAACAUCACUUCGCACUUACUAGUCCGGAUGGACAGUGAGCUGCGUGUUUUCUGACAUUGUAAAGAGGAGAUCGAUCCGAGUUGGAUCGUGCAGAGAAUAUCUGCGCGAGACUUCAUUAUCUCCGGAUCAUUUCGGCGCUCACACGCCGUUCAAGGUAGCCCUCGUGGUUGCUGCGAAUGACGAGUGAGUUGUAAAUGAUCCUUUUAGCGAAGCUUGACCGCCUCGCUAUCGGAACGAUCUUACGAAGCAAGCUGGUCUUUCUAAUCAUUGUCCGGCUGCAGAUAGCGUUCAUCGAGGGCGCGUGCCUUAGAGACUUAUGUUUCUUGGCAAUUCUGCAGAGGAACAUUCUGGCCGAGUGUGUGGACAUUGAUAAUGAGAGCAAUCAAGUGCCUUAAGGGUGUUCGGUGGAUGCCUUGGCGCUGAAAGGCGAUGAAGGACGUGCUACGCUGCGAUAAGCCGUGGGGGAGCUGC
RNAcentral lists this unclassified non-coding RNA (894 nucleotides) under Bradyrhizobium sp. Its description in RNAcentral is "partial contains 16S ribosomal RNA, 16S-23S ribosomal RNA intergenic spacer, and 23S ribosomal RNA". The stretch from base 194 to 267 matches the Rfam family "tRNA". The record is from RNAcentral. Lineage: Bacteria; Pseudomonadati; Pseudomonadota; Alphaproteobacteria; Hyphomicrobiales; Nitrobacteraceae.